GAUGAACGCUAGCGGGAGGCUUAAUACAUGCAAGUCGAGCGAGAAGGUGUAGCAAUACACUUGUAAAGCGGCGAACGGGUGAGGAAUACAUGGGUAAUCUACCAUCGAGUGGGGAAUAACCAACCGAAAGGUUGGCUAAUACCGCGUACGCCUCCGAAUCUUCGGGUUCGGAGGGAAAGCUGCACUGUGAGUGUAGCGCUCUUUGAUGAGCUCAUGUCCUAUCAGCUUGUUGGUAGGGUAACGGCCUACCAAGGCUUUGACGGGUAGCUGGUCUGAGAGGACGAUCAGCCACACUGGAACUGAGACACGGUCCAGACUCCUACGGGAGGCAGCAGUGGGGAAUUUUGGACAAUGGGGGCAACCCUGAUCCAGCCAUUCCGCGUGAGUGAAGAAGGCC
This 397-nucleotide ribosomal RNA is filed under the name uncultured bacterium. RNAcentral's name for it is "bacterial SSU rRNA". It matches the Rfam family "Bacterial small subunit ribosomal RNA", at positions 28 to 416 of the family's 1533-position model. The record is from RNAcentral.